AGAGCGAACGCUGGCGGCAGGCUUAACACAUGCAAGUCGAGCGGGCGUAGCAAUACGUCAGCGGCAGACGGGUGAGUAACGCGUGGGAACGUACCUUUGGUUCGGAACAACACAGGGAAACUUGUGCUAAUACCGGAUAAGCCCUUACGGGGAAAGAUUUAUCGCCGAAAAGAUUCGGCCCGCGUCUGAUUAGCUAGUUGGUGAGGUAACGGCUCACCAAGGCGACGAUCAGUAGCUGGGUCUGAGAGGAUGAUCAGCCACAUUGGGACUGAGACACGGCCCAAACUCCUACGGGAGGCAGCAGUGGGGAAUAUUGGACAAUGGGCGGCAAGCCUGAUCCAGCCAUGCCGCGUGAGUGAUGAAGGCCCUAGGGUUGUAAAGCUCUUUUGUGCGGGAAGAUAAUGACGGUACCGCAAGAAUAAGCCCCGGCUAACUCGUGCCAGCAGCCGC
Molecule: ribosomal RNA, 450 nt
Filed under: uncultured bacterium
Lineage: Bacteria
Description: SSU rRNA
Rfam family: Bacterial small subunit ribosomal RNA
Source: RNAcentral